Molecule: ribosomal RNA, 251 nt
Filed under: uncultured bacterium
Lineage: Bacteria
Description: partial 16S ribosomal RNA
Rfam family: Bacterial small subunit ribosomal RNA
Source: RNAcentral
UACGUAGGGGGCAAGCGUUAUCCGGAAUCAUUGGGCGUAAAGCGCGUGUAGGCGGUUCCGUAAGUCCGCUCUGAAAGCCCAGGGCUCAACCCUGGGAGGCGGGUGGAUACUACGGAACUGGAGUACGGAAGAGGAGAUUGGAAUUCCUGGUGUAGCGGUGAAAUGCGCAGAUAUCAGGAGGAACGCCAACAGCGAAGGCAGAUCUCUGGACGUUACUGACGCUGAGACGCGAAAGCGUGGGAGCAAACAGG